GGAAACUUGUAGUUCAGUGGUCGAGUGCAUGCUUUGCCUGAAUGAGGUCCUGGGUUCAAACCCCAGUAUCUCCA
Non-coding RNA from Ameiurus melas (black bullhead), 74 nucleotides. The record is from the annotation of a GenBank genome assembly. NCBI's taxonomy places the organism in Eukaryota, Metazoa, Chordata, Actinopteri, Siluriformes, Ictaluridae.